RNAcentral lists this ribosomal RNA (467 nucleotides) under uncultured bacterium. Its description in RNAcentral is "partial 16S ribosomal RNA". It matches the Rfam family "Bacterial small subunit ribosomal RNA", at positions 28 to 507 of the family's 1533-position model. The record is from RNAcentral.
GACGAACGCUGGCGGCGUGCUUAACACAUGCAAGUCGAACGGAAAGGCCCUGCUUUUGUGGGGUGCUCGAGUGGCGAACGGGUGAGUAACACGUGAGUAACCUGCCCUUGACUUUGGGAUAACUUCAGGAAACUGGGGCUAAUACCGGAUAGGAGCUCCUGCUGCAUGGUGGGGGUUGGAAAGUUUCGGCGGUUGGGGAUGGACUCGCGGCUUAUCAGCUUGUUGGUGGGUAGUGGCUUACCAAGGCUUUGACGGGUAGCCGGCCUGAGAGGGUGACCGGCCACAUUGGGACUGAGAUACGGCCCAGACUCCUACGGGAGGCAGCAGUGGGGAAUAUUGCACAAUGGGCGGAAGCCUGAUGCAGCAACGCCGCGUGCGGGAUGACGGCCUUCGGGUUGUAAACCGCUUUCGCCUGUGACGAGGCGUGAGUGACGGUAAUGGGUAAAGAAGCACCGGCUAACUACGUG